CCUACGGGAGGCAGCAGUGGGGAAUAUUGGACAAUGGGCGCAAGCCUGAUCCAGCAAUGCCGCGUGGGUGAAGAAGGCCUUCGGGUUGGAAAGCACUUUUGUCUGGGAAGAAGUCCAGGUGGUUACAAGUUGGAAAUGACGGUAUCGAAGAAUAAGCACUGCUAUUUUCU
This 170-nucleotide ribosomal RNA is filed under the name uncultured bacterium. RNAcentral's name for it is "partial 16S ribosomal RNA". It matches the Rfam family "Bacterial small subunit ribosomal RNA", at positions 338 to 505 of the family's 1533-position model. The record is from RNAcentral.